RNAcentral lists this ribosomal RNA (255 nucleotides) under uncultured bacterium. Its description in RNAcentral is "partial 16S ribosomal RNA". It matches the Rfam family "Bacterial small subunit ribosomal RNA", at positions 524 to 776 of the family's 1533-position model. The record is from RNAcentral.
UACGUAGGUGGCGAACGUUAUCCGGAAUCAUUGGGCGUAAAGGGUGCGUAGAUGGUCUGACAAGUUAGCGGUGGUAAAUCGAGGCCUAACCUCGUGGAAGCUGGUAAUACUGUCAAACUAGAGGACCGGAGAGGUUAACGGAACUCCCGGUGGAGCGGUAAAAUGCACAGAUAUCGGGAAGAACACCAAUACGGCGAAGGCAGUUAACUAGUCGGCUCCUGACAUUGAGGCACGAAAGCGUGGGGAGCAAAAAGG